RNAcentral lists this ribosomal RNA (464 nucleotides) under uncultured delta proteobacterium. Its description in RNAcentral is "bacterial SSU rRNA". It matches the Rfam family "Bacterial small subunit ribosomal RNA", at positions 338 to 795 of the family's 1533-position model. The record is from RNAcentral. Lineage: Bacteria; Deltaproteobacteria.
CCUACGGGUGGCAGCAGUGGGGAAUCUUGCGCAAUGGGCGAAAGCCUGACGCAGCGACGCCGCGUGGGUGAUGAAGGCCUUCGGGUUGUAAAGCCCUGUGGGGAGAGAAGAAUAAAGGUUGGCUAAUAUCCAACUUGAUGACGGUAUCUCCUUAGCAAGCACCGGCUAACUCUGUGCCAGCAGCCGCGGUAAGACAGAGGGUGCAAACGUUGUUCGGAAUUACUGGGCGUAAAGCGCGUGUAGGCUGCCAUGCAAGUCGGAUGUGAAAGCCCUCGGCUCAACCGAGGAAGUGCAUUCGAAACUGCAUGGCUGGAGUCUCGGAGAGGGUAGUGGAAUUCUCGGUGUAGAGGUGAAAUUCGUAGAUAUCGAGAGGAACACCGGUGGCGAAGGCGGCUACCUGGACGAUGACUGACGCUGAGACGCGAAAGCGUGGGGAGCAAACAGGAUUAGAUACCCGUGUAGUC